Molecule: non-coding RNA, 383 nt
Organism: Photobacterium profundum SS9
Lineage: Bacteria; Pseudomonadati; Pseudomonadota; Gammaproteobacteria; Vibrionales; Vibrionaceae
Rfam family: Bacterial RNase P class A
About the family: Ribonuclease P (RNase P) is a ubiquitous endoribonuclease, found in archaea, bacteria and eukarya as well as chloroplasts and mitochondria.
Source: Rfam
GGAGUUGGUCAGGCGAUCGCUGCUUCGUUGAUGUCCUUAGGGAGACUGACGGAGGGGAGGAAAGUCCGGGCUCCAAAGGGCAGGGUGCCAGAUAACGUCUGGGGGGCGCGAGCCCACGACAAGUGCAGCAGAGAGUAUACCGCCGAUGACUCGCUUGCGAGAACAGGUAAGGGUGAAAGGGUGCGGUAAGAGCGCACCGCGCGGCUAGUAAUAGUUCGUGGCAUGGUAAACUCCACCCGGAGCAAGACCAAAUAGGUCCCUAAUGGCGCGGCCCGCGUUGGGGACGGGUAGGUUGCUUGAGCCUGUGAGCGAUUGCAGGCCUAGAGGAAUGGUUGCCACUGCGAAAGCAGCUACAAAACCCGGCUUAUAGACCAACUCCACCU